ACAAAGAUUCUAGGGCAGUCUGACAUUUAGAUGUCAAACCCAGAAGAGAGGCAGGCAAGAGAGCAUGAAUAAGUGUGUGCUGUGAGGUAGAAUGAAAUUCAGAAGGAUGUGGCAUCAUAGAGGGAAUGGCUAAAAGCAGAGGAGACAGAGACCACAGCUGUUUGUAGAUGGGACACGCAUGUCCGAGAUAUUACUGAUUUUCUGGAGGAAGUCGCCAAAUGACUGAGAGAUAUUUUCAAAUUACUUUCUUUUAAUACAAAGAAAUUUUAUUGUUCAGGUUCACUUAACCUACCCUUAAAUCUCCUCAACCUUUAGGUAUUCGGCUGCAGCUGAUAGAUAUAACAAUAUAUGGUGUAAAUUAAUUGAGUUUUCAUCUAAAUCACCAGGCUCAAAUUCUUUGAAACAUCUACUCGCAGAUAAAAUCUAUGCAAAGUCUGUCAGCUGUCAGCUUUUUACUAUUCUUGUAUAGUUGGUUAACAACCGUGUUCCGAAGCUGAGUGAAAGCUGAAUUUGUCAGGCUUUUGUGAAACAAAGAACUCAAAUUCAGAAGCCUUACCAUGAGAAUAAAGCCACCUACAGGGAUGUUUUAUACGAGUUUGAUCUCAAAGAAAUGAGAUGGGGUGCUGAGAGAGGUGCCAAAGACAGCGUCUUCGGAGUAAGGAUUGGAAUGACUCUCUUUUUCCUUGUAGCUGAUGAAACUGAGUGGUUUGAAUGGUUUCCAGGUAACAACAGACAGAUGCUGACUCCAGAAUGAAUUGUACUACAGCACUUUCAUGGUAUGAUGCAUUCCUGGACUCCAUGCCCUUGUAAGACUUCAGCAUACAGGAAGAAAUUUCCCAUACAGCUGGCAAGCAGCCAACACAAAAAUAGGUCUUCUGGGACGCCCAAAUAAAGUCUCAGAAAGGAGCUAUUACUUUGUCUCAGGAAAUUCCAAAAGUAAAAGUACCUCUUUUUGCAUAUCUUUUUUUGUUGUGACAUUGUUGAGAAACUAGAUGUCAGCAAACUCUGGCUAUUGUGGUUACCUUAUUCUGGGUAAAAGUAUGUUUAUUCAAGACUGUAGAAUUCAUUACUUUCUAUCUGUUAAUAUUCAAAACAUACACGUAAUUCACAUCUUACUUAGCUCAAAUAUAACCAAAUUUUAAUGAUCUCCUUGUAAUAAAUGAUUAUUUUUAUCAGAUAAUCAAAUUGAGUGAAAUAUGAACUAUGUAACACCAAAGUCAAUCUUUUCUAAUGUAAAUUAUGUAUACUGAGCACUUCAACUCUCAAUUUGGAGAGUCUAAUGCCUGCUGAAAGGCAAAAGAAAUAAGGCUGAUUUUAUGCCUUCGAUCUAUUCCUUGUUUGUAAGAGAAAAGCAAAUAUAUAUUAUAAAGCAUCUAAAAACAUCUACCAAAACAAUUUGCCAUGAAAUCAAGAGUUCUGUGAUUAACUUUCAUACAAUUAAUGAGGCAGAGCCAUCUUUUCUGUCACAAAUCCCUUUUGACUUCAACAAAUGUACAAACUUCAACUUGGCCAAAAUAAACGGGUUUCAAAGUAUGCAAGAUGGCCCAACACUACCAAACAAAUAUUUGUAUCAAACUACUCAUUCAAUGAUAUGAAACUCAGUUCCAUGUAUUCACAUAUUAGUGUUUACUUGAACCAGUUGACAGAUGUAUUAGAAAGAGCACAGGCUUGAAAUUGAAAUUCCCGCUUUAAUUCUCAAAGCUCUGAACUCUUGCAAGUGUUUUAGUUGCUCUAAGUCUUAUUUACUUAGAAGAAAAUCUCAAUCUUAAAAUGCGAAUUGAUGUACGUGUUACAUGGCUAGCAUAACUGAGUAAUCCAUACAAGUUGAUUGGCACUCAAUAAGGAAUCAAUAAAUGCUGAUUCCCCUCCUUUCCUAAUGAGAAAUUCCUAAGUAGAAAUUAAAAGAAGCCUAUCUAAAACAAUGCCAUUUCCAGAAACAAAUGGAAAAUCUAGAAAUCCAAGACCAAAUUUGAUGGUAAAAAAAAAAAAAAAUCAAGGAAACAAGAUACGGAUAAAUAACAAGAUUUUUA
Canis lupus familiaris (dog) is the source of this 2030-nucleotide long non-coding RNA. RefSeq lists it as uncharacterized. The record is from RefSeq and is a predicted model, not a curated record. The transcript is spliced from 4 exons. Lineage: Eukaryota; Metazoa; Chordata; Mammalia; Carnivora; Canidae.